UACGGAGGAGGCAAGGGGUAUCCGGAAUUACUGGGUGUAAAGGGCGCGUAGGCGGCCUGUUAAGUCCCGUGUGAAAUCCCUCGGCUCAACCGAGGAACUGCACGGGAAACUGGCGGGCUUGAGUUCGGGAGAGGGAAGCGGAAUUCCGGGUGUAGCGGUGAAAUGCGUAGAUAUCCGGAGGAACACCGGUGGCGAAGGCGGCUUCCUGGACCGACACUGACGCUGAGGCGCGAAAGCUAGGGGAGCAAACGGG
RNAcentral lists this ribosomal RNA (253 nucleotides) under uncultured bacterium. RNAcentral's name for it is "partial 16S ribosomal RNA". It matches the Rfam family "Bacterial small subunit ribosomal RNA", at positions 524 to 776 of the family's 1533-position model. The record is from RNAcentral.